UACGAAGGGGGCUAGCGUUGUUCGGAUUUACUGGGCGUAAAGCGCACGUAGGCGGGUCGUUAAGUCAGGGGUGAAAUCCCGGAGCUCAACUCCGGAACUGCCUUUGAUACUGGCGACCUUGAGGCCGGAAGAGGUUAGUGGAAUUCCCAGUGUAGAGGUGAAAUUCGUAGAUAUUGGGAAGAACACCAGUGGCGAAGGCGGCUAACUGGUCCGGAUCUGACGCUGAGGUGCGAAAGCGUGGGGAGCAAACAGG
This 253-nucleotide ribosomal RNA is filed under the name uncultured bacterium. Its description in RNAcentral is "partial 16S ribosomal RNA". It matches the Rfam family "Bacterial small subunit ribosomal RNA", at positions 524 to 776 of the family's 1533-position model. The record is from RNAcentral. RNAcentral also lists the same sequence under 1 other name.